ACACUGGGAUUGCCCUAGUAACGGCGAGUGAAGCGGCAACAGCUCAAAUUUGAAAUCUGGCCCCCCUCGCGGGGGGUCCGAGUUGUAAUUUGCAGAGGGUGCUUUGGCUUUGGUUGCGGUCUAAGUUCCUUGGAACAGGACAUCGCAGAGGGUGAGAAUCCCGUACGUGAUCGCGCACCAUCGCCGUGUAAAGCCCCUUCGACGAGUCGAGUUGUUUGGGAAUGCAGCUCUAAAUGGGAGGUAAAUUCCUUCUAAGGCUAAAUACCGGCCAGAGACCGAUAGCGCACAAGUAGAGUGAUCGAAAGAUGAAAAGCACUUUGGAAAGAGAGUCAAAAAGCACGUGAAAUUGUUGAAAGGGAAGCGCUUGCAGCCAGACUUGCCCGCAGUUGCUCACCCAGGCUCCGGCCCGGGGCACUCUUCUGCGGGCAGGCCAGCAUCAGCUCGGGCGGUCGGACAAAGGCCUCUGUCAUGUAUCUUCCUUCGGGAUGACCUUAUAGGGGAGGCGCAACACGGCCAGCCCGGGCUGAGGACCGCGCAUCUGCUAGGAUGCUGGCGUAAUGGCCGCAAGCGGCCCGUCUUGAAACACGGACCAAGGAGUCUAACAUCUGUGCGAGUGUUUGGGUGUCAAGCCCGGGCGCGCAAUGAAAGUGAACGGAGGUGGGAACCCUCUCCGGGGGGCGCACCAUCGACCGAUCCUGAUGUCUUCGGAUGGAUUUGAGUAAGAGCACGGCUGUUGGGACCCGAAAGAUGGUGAACUAUGCUUGAAUAGGGUGAAGCCAGAGGAAACUCUGGUGGAGGCUCGCAGCGGUUCUGACGUGCAAAUCGAUCGUCAAAUUUGGGCAUAGGGGCGAAAGACUAAUCGAACUAUCUAGUAGCUGGUUCCUGCCGAAGUCUCCCCCUCAAGAAACGCCNCACNCGNCCUCUCCGCGCGUGCGAUGACCGCGUUCGCCCCGGUGCCCAACUUUGAACAAUGGAUUUGCCCGUUCAAACCGCUGCGAGCCUCCAACGAAGUUUCCUCUGGG
RNAcentral lists this ribosomal RNA (1022 nucleotides) under Longipedicellata aptrootii. Its description in RNAcentral is "LSU rRNA". It matches the Rfam family "Eukaryotic large subunit ribosomal RNA", at positions 66 to 977 of the family's 3401-position model. The record is from RNAcentral. Lineage: Eukaryota; Fungi; Ascomycota; Dothideomycetes; Pleosporales; Bambusicolaceae.